Molecule: ribosomal RNA, 501 nt
Filed under: uncultured bacterium
Lineage: Bacteria
Description: partial 16S ribosomal RNA
Rfam family: Bacterial small subunit ribosomal RNA
Source: RNAcentral
AUUGAACGCUGGCGGCAGGCUUAACACAUGCAAGUCGAGCGGGGGAAGGUAGCUUGCUACCGGACCUAGCGGCGGACGGGUGAGUAAUGCUUAGGAAUCUGCCUAUUAGUGGGGGACAACAUCUCGAAAGGGAUGCUAAUACCGCAUACGUCCUACGGGAGAAAGCAGGGGAUCUUCGGACCUUGCGCUAAUGGAUGAGCCUAAGUCGGAUUAGCUAGUUGGUGGGGUAAAGGCCUACCAAGGCGACGAUCUGUAGCGGGUCUGAGAGGAUGAUCCGCCACACUGGGACUGAGACACGGCCCAGACUCCUACGGGAGGCAGCAGUGGGGAAUAUUGGACAAUGGGGGGAACCCUGAUCCAGCCAUGCCGCGUGUGUGAAGAAGGCCUUAUGGUUGUAAAGCACUUUAAGCGAGGAGGAGGCUACUCUAGUUAAUACCUAGGGAUAGUGGACGUUACUCGCAGAAUAAGCACCGGCUAACUCUGUGCCAGCCGCCGCCGUAA